This 497-nucleotide ribosomal RNA is filed under the name uncultured bacterium. RNAcentral's name for it is "partial 16S ribosomal RNA". It matches the Rfam family "Bacterial small subunit ribosomal RNA", at positions 28 to 507 of the family's 1533-position model. The record is from RNAcentral.
GAUGAACGCUGGCGGCGUGCCUAAUACAUGCAAGUCGAGCGAACAGACGAGGAGCUUGCUCCUCUGACGUUAGCGGCGGACGGGUGAGUAACACGUGGAUAACCUACCUAUAAGACUGGGAUAACUUCGGGAAACCGGAGCUAAUACCGGAUAAUAUAUUGAACCGCAUGGUUCAAUAGUGAAAGACGGUUUUGCUGUCACUUAUAGAUGGAUCCGCGCCGCAUUAGCUAGUUGGUAAGGUAACGGCUUACCAAGGCAACGAUGCGUAGCCGACCUGAGAGGGUGAUCGGCCACACUGGAACUGAGACACGGUCAAGACUCCUACGGGAGGCAGCAGUAGGGAAUCUUCCGCAAUGGGCGAAAGCCUGACGGAGCAACGCCGCGUGAGUGAUGAAGGUCUUCGGAGCGUAAAACUCUGUUAUUAGGGAAGAACAAAUGUGUAAGUAACUAUGCACGUCUUGACGGUACCUAAUCAGAAAGCCACGGCUAACUACGUG